CUACGGGGUGCUGCAGUGAGGAAUUUUGCGCAAUGGGGGCAACCCUGACGCAGCAACGCCGCGUGAGUGAAGAAGGCCUUUGGGUCGUAAAGCUCUGUCGACAGGGAAGAAGUUAUUGUUGUUUAACAGAUGACAGUAUUGACGGUACCUGUAGAGGAAGCACCGGCUAACUCCGUGCCAGCAGCCGCGGUAAUACGGGGGGUGCAAGCGUUAUGCGGAAUUAUUGGGCGUAAAGGGCGCGUAGGCGGUCUUGUCGGUCAGAUGUGAAAGCCCAGGGCUCAACCCUGGACGUGCACUUGAAACGGCAAGACUUGAGUACGGGAGAGGAAAGCGGAAUUCCUGGUGUAGAGGUGAAAUUCGUAGAUAUCAGGAGGAACACCGAUGGCGAAGGCAGCUUUCUGGACCGAUACUGACGCUGAGGCGCGAAGGUGUGGGUAGCGAACGGGAUUAGAUACCCUCGUAGUC
This 465-nucleotide ribosomal RNA is filed under the name uncultured bacterium. RNAcentral's name for it is "partial 16S ribosomal RNA". It matches the Rfam family "Bacterial small subunit ribosomal RNA", at positions 339 to 795 of the family's 1533-position model. The record is from RNAcentral.